Molecule: ribosomal RNA, 673 nt
Filed under: Agardhiella macrostoma
Lineage: Eukaryota; Metazoa; Mollusca; Gastropoda; Stylommatophora; Agardhiellidae
Description: partial 12S ribosomal RNA
Source: RNAcentral
UCAAAAACGGGAUAACCCUUUUUAGAUUUAUUAAAUUUGAUAAGAAAACUAUAUUUAUUUAUAUUAAUUAUGGAACUUAUGGAUUCCCAGUUAAAGAUAUUGAUUAAUAAUAGAAAUAUUAAAUUAAUAAUGAUUCAAAAAUUAGGUAAAUUAGGUGCCAGCAACCGCGGUCAUACCUAAUUAUUUCUAUAGUUAUUAAAAGUGAUUAUUAAUUUAUAGAAUAAUUAUUUUAAAAGUAGUAAAAUACUUUAUAUUUAAAUUCUUUUUCUUAAAAACAAAAAUAUUUCACUAAAGCCUUACCAAAAACUAGGAUUAGAUACCCUAUUAUUAAGGACCAAUUAAACCCACUGAGGAUUAAAAUACUUAAAUAUUAAAACUCAAAAAUUAUGGCGGCUUUUGGAACCUAUUAGGGGAACUUACCUAUUAAUUGAUAACCACCAAGAUAUUCAAUAUAUUUAAAAAGUUUGUAUGCCGUCGUCUUUUAAUUUUUAAAAAAAAAUUUAAAGUCAUCUUAAUGAUAUUAUGACAGAUCAAGGUGCAACUAAUAUGUAUAAUAAAGGCGAGUUACAAUAAAAAUAUUUUUCAAAUAAAUUUAUAGAAAUAUAAUUUAAAGAUGGACUUAAAAGUAAAUUUAAAAUUAAAAUUAAAAGUUGAAUUCACAAUUCAUUAGUGU